ACCGGCCGCCGAUGUGAUGGAUAUCUGGAUAAUUCGGCUUAGAAUUUGAUCCUGACUCAUAUUCAACGCUGGCGGUAGGCUUCCCCCAUCACGAUCAAACGGAACCGAUGUACCUCGCUACUAGCGUCUAACCGCGGAAUGGUGGUUGCUGGUUUAGAAUCUGCCCUCUACUGGGGGACUUCCUGUGGAUACUCAUGCUAUUUACCGCUCCUACCCUUAGGGGAAACCCGAGGGAUCGACGGAAAA
Molecule: ribosomal RNA, 246 nt
Filed under: marine gamma proteobacterium LHAT2
Lineage: Bacteria; Pseudomonadati; Pseudomonadota; Gammaproteobacteria
Description: partial 16S ribosomal RNA
Source: RNAcentral